Long non-coding RNA from Argiope bruennichi, 413 nucleotides. RefSeq lists it as uncharacterized. Lineage: Eukaryota; Metazoa; Arthropoda; Arachnida; Araneae; Araneidae. The transcript has 3 exons. The record is from RefSeq and is a predicted model, not a curated record.
AGUAGAGAGACAAUGUUUGCGCGCAAUAAAAAGCCUCGUGUGAACCCACCUUAAAGGGAAAAACAGUUUAGUAUAUCGUGUAACGUUAGCGAGUGUGUGUGCGGUAGCAAGGCAGCGCCUGCUAAGCAAUCAUGACCAGAAUGAAAGGAAAAAGAGUCCAAAUUUAUUCUUGUGUUGUGAUUUUUUAAUAAUGUGAUAGCUAUCGACAUAAAUUUAGUGCAUGUGUAUUCAACUGAGAUUGGGAUUUCAUUGUUAAUAUUUAAUUGUAUAGAAAGUUAUAAAAGUUUCUCAGUUGAAAUGCCAAGAAGGAUCUAAUCUAAUCCUAAGACAUUAAUCAGGGUAUAUUUUUUUCUAAAAUUUUUUUGAUGCCGAAGAUCAGAAUGAAUUUAUAUAGAUAUGAAAUUGGGCUUCAU